This 3048-nucleotide long non-coding RNA is filed under the name Homo sapiens (human). RNAcentral describes it as "non-protein coding lnc-HPCAL1-1:5". The record is from RNAcentral. Lineage: Eukaryota; Metazoa; Chordata; Mammalia; Primates; Hominidae.
CCCGGAUCCUGAGUCUCCAAGCCGCCCACUACCCUCUGCUUUACCGGAUGGAACUCAUCAGUAACUAGGUCUGAGGCACAGUCAGUGAAUACCUGUUUAAUGAAUGCAUGCAUAAAUGAAUGAAUGGAUGAUCCAGCUCUUCCUGGAGCAGGCACGACUUCCACAGAAACAGAGCAAACGCUAGCCGUAAGCAGAAGUGAGUCUUCUUCCUAUGUGAAGGGAUGUGGGGGUGGUACGCCCCUAUCAACUUUAUCUUUACAUAGUCCUUGAGCGCCCACCGGGCACCGUGUUCCCCGGACUAGAGGGAGGGAGAGGGGGGUUAGCUCCACCCUUAACAAGCUUAAUUCUUGAUGAGAUUAACCAUCAAAACCCAUCAGAGAACGUUAUAGCUCCAGCGCUGAAUGAGACAUCUUUGAUUCUGUGGUGAUGCGGACUUUGUGCCUCUCUGUGAGGAAUCACUUUGUUCCAAUGACGCAAUUUUCCUCACACUCCGGAAGUGUCCUGCACUGCCAGAAUCGCCCAGCUUCCCGGCACACCUAUCAACCAGUCGUUCCCAGCACUGCCCAGUAUGCAGCCUCCAGGCAGAGGGCCUGGAUGUCUUGGCAGGUGUUUCCGAAAAAUCCAAUCCACCCUCCAAGGUGGAAAGUGUGCCAUCUCUGCCCAUAAUCCAAAUGGCGUGCCUGAGGCAUAGAAAGCAGCUUUCAGGGAGGCCUUCCUUCCUCUGAGCAAUGGUGGCAUCAUCAGAAAAGUGGAGCUCCUCCAAAAGGAUCUGCUGGAAGCAGAGGACGCCCAUGUGGAGCAGCAUGCGGAGGGCCCUUGCACAACCUGGGUCUUCAGGAAGUUCCUUGCCCAGGUGUUGGCCCAGCUCUCUUCAUGGUUCCAAGAAGGCUGCCCCAGGAAGGCUUGUGGACAGAGGGAGAAGCAUCUCUUCCUCUAUGUCUCUUUUUAUCUAAGAAACCAGUUUGACCAGCAUCCUUCCCCUCGGCUCCCCAGGAGGAAUGCACGGAUCCCUUCGCCUUCCCCCAUCCCUCCAUGGUUGACUAAACCCACUAGGAUCCACUCUUUUGCGUGGAAAUGGGUUCAGGCCUCCCACGAAGAGCAUGAAGAUGCCCUCUGUUAUGGGUUACAUUAUGUCCCCUGCCCCCGAGACCGUAUGUUGAGUCCUAACCCUAGUAUUGCAGAACGUGAAUUUAUUAGGAGAUAGGGUCUUUAUGGAGGUCAUUAAGUUAAAUGAGGGUGUUAGGGUGGGCUGGUGUCCUGAUAUAAAGGGGAAAUUUGGGGCUGGGUGUAGUGGCUCACACAUAUAAUCCCAGUGCCUCGAGAGGCCAAGGCAGGAGGAUUGCUUGAGGGCAGGAGUUCAAGACCAGCUUGGGUAACAUAGGGAGACCGGUAUCUAUAAAAAAAAUUAAAAACAAAAAAAUUAGCCGAGUGUGGUGGUGCAUGCCUGUAGUCCCAGCUACUCAGGAGGCUGAGGUGGGAGGAUCGCUUGAGUCCAGGAAUUUGAGGCUGCAGUGAGCCAUAAAAAGAUGGGGGACGAUGGAGACGCACAGGGAAAACACCUUGUGAAUGCGGCAGAGAUAAGGGUGAUGCCUCUACACACCGAGGAACUUCAGAGACAACCAGUAAGUCACUGGGAGCUCGGGGAAGGCACAGCGCAGAUGCUCGCUGCCCUCAGAGGGAAGCCAGCCCGCCAACCCCUUGAUCUCAGACCUCUGGCCCCUGGAACUGUGAGAUGAUAGAUUUCUGUCGUUUAAGCACAGUGGUGCUGUGUUAUAGCAGCCCUAGGGAACCAUCCACUAUCAGAACAAAAGCAGGGCUGGACUGCUAGAAGAAAGGAGAGGAGAAUGGCAGAGGAUACCCACCUUGGGGCUGAAUCUGAGAUCACUCCAGGGCUCCCCAGGUUGUUUUGAAGAAUGGAGAUGGAUUUGUGCAGGGCUCACUGUAGAAGCUCAGUGCAGCAUGCGACGCUUAUAAGGCUGCAAUCCCCAGAGCUCAGUCCCUGAAGAGCGCUGCAUUCACAGACAUCAGCCAGCAGACAAACCAGUACCUAUUGUCCCUGACCCCCAGAAUCCAGCAGACAUAUAAAAGAUGGUUGUUAACCCCACUAAGUUUUGGGGUAAUUUGUUAUGCAGCCAUGCAACUGAAAGAAGCAGCUACAAUAUUUUUAUAAUGAAAUUCUUAGCCAGGACCCUCAUAGCCUAGCAAGAAGUUCUGUCUGGAAGAGCCCAGCUUUGGGGUUGGGUAUGUCUGGGUUUUAAUAUGUCAAGAGGGCAGGCCCUGGAGACGGAGCACAUGGAUUUGAAUCCCAGCCUCUCAUAGGCAGGUUAAUUAAUUUCCCUGAAUCUCAGUUUCUUCAUCUCUCAAUGGAGAAAAUAAUAGAAGCCACCUCACGGGAAUUAAAUGAGAUUAUUUACGCACAGCACCAAGGCUGUGGCUACUGUAUUUGACCCCUGAAACAGUUAAUUUUUCUUGACAUCCCUUCCUUGGUAUAUGUAUUAGUCAGGGUUCUCUAGAGGGACAGAACUAAUAGGAUAUCUCUCUCUCUAUAGAUUUAUAUAAAGGGGAGUUUAUUAAGUAUUAACUUACACAAUCACAAGGUCCUGCAAUAGGUCGUCUGCAGGCUGAGGAGCAAGGAGAGCCAGUUCAAGUCCCAAAACUGAAGAACUUGGAGUCUGAUGUUCGAGUCCAGGAAGCAUCCAGCACAGGAGAAAGAUGGAAGCUGGGAGGCCAGGCCUGACUCUCCUUUUCAUGUUUUUCUGCCUGCUUUAUAUCCGCUGGCAGCUGAUUAGGUGGUGCCCACCAGAUUAAGGGUGGAUCUGCCUUCCCCAGCCCACUGACUCAAAUGUUAAUCUCUUUUGGCAACACCCUCACAGACACACCCAGGAUCAAUACUGUCAGUUCAAUCAAGUUGACACUCAGUAUGAACCAUCGCAAUACAAUAGGAUUACUUUCUGUGAUAACCUGUGUAAAAAUAGGCAGUCAUGAUUUUCCUGUUGUGUUCUUCAGGUGUAAAACAAAAAAUUUUAAAAGAAGAAACUUCAAUUUUAA